UCCUACGGGAGGCAGCAGUAAGGAAUAUUGCUCAAUGGGAGAAAUCCUGAAGCAGCAACGCCGCGUGAGGGAUGAAUGGCUUUAGCUUGUAAACCUCUGUAACAGGGGAAAAAACCUCCACUCUGUGGAGUAUGAUGGUACCCUGGAAGUAAGCGUCGGCUAACUACGUGCCAGCAGCCGCGGUAAUA
RNAcentral lists this ribosomal RNA (188 nucleotides) under uncultured Chlorobiota bacterium. Its description in RNAcentral is "uncultured Chlorobi bacterium partial 16S ribosomal RNA". It matches the Rfam family "Bacterial small subunit ribosomal RNA", at positions 337 to 525 of the family's 1533-position model. The record is from RNAcentral. Lineage: Bacteria; Pseudomonadati; Chlorobiota.